RNAcentral lists this ribosomal RNA (429 nucleotides) under uncultured bacterium. Its description in RNAcentral is "partial 16S ribosomal RNA". It matches the Rfam family "Bacterial small subunit ribosomal RNA", at positions 355 to 801 of the family's 1533-position model. The record is from RNAcentral.
UGGGGAAUAUUGGACAAUGGGGGCAACCCUGAUCCAGCAAUGCCGCGUGUGUGAAGAAGGUCUUCGGAUUGUAAAGCACUUUCGACGGGGACGAUGAUGACGGUACCCGUAGAAGAAGCCCCGGCUAACUUCGUGCCAGCAGCCGCGGUAAUACGAAGGGGGCUAGCGUUGCUCGGAAUGACUGGGCGUAAAGGGCGUGUAGGCGGUUUACACAGUCAGAUGUGAAAUCCCCGGGCUUAACCUGGGAGCUGCAUUUGAUACGUGUAGACUAGAGUGUGAGAGAGGGUUGUGGAAUUCCCAGUGUAGAGGUGAAAUUCGUAGAUAUUGGGAAGAACACCGGUGGCGAAGGCGGCAACCUGGCUCAUGACUGACGCUGAGGCGCGAAAGCGUGGGGAGCAAACAGGAUUAGAUACCCUGGUAGUCCACGCU